AUUCCAAUAAGUGUAUACUGCGAUAUGACGACAAUGGGCGGGGGAUGGACGGCCAUUCAGAAACGCGUAGACGGAUCCAUAAUCUUUGACAGGAACUGGGCGGAUUAUAAAAAUGGCUUUGGUUCACCAGAACAGAACGUCUGGGUUGGAAAUGACGUAAUCCAUCAAUUAACAAAAGAAAACUCAUCAUCCCUGUAUGUGUCCAUCACUCUCCAGAAUGGUACAACUCUGUAUGAAAU
Long non-coding RNA from Saccostrea cuccullata (small rock oyster), 239 nucleotides. RefSeq lists it as uncharacterized. The transcript has 3 exons. NCBI's taxonomy places the organism in Eukaryota, Metazoa, Mollusca, Bivalvia, Ostreida, Ostreidae. The record is from RefSeq and is a predicted model, not a curated record.